CAGAGGAUUAGCAGAACGGAGUCGCCGGAGCCAAACGCAGACGAGAGGCCCACGGAAGAGGUUCCAGCAUGCCCAGAAGAAUGAUUGUAUAAAUCCUAGCUACAGGUGACAUCAGCUAUUAAAUUGUACACAUAGCACAGAAGCAUUAGCAUGAAAUGCCAACGUCAGGCCAGGUGAUUGAAAGCAAAAUUCCAGAUUUGAAGAGCCACGCGAAGCCGCUGUGAACAAAAGGAGGACCAACGGAAGAGCAGGUGAGCAGAUCAGUAAUGACUUUUGUAGACUGUAUUGCACAUCAUCUGAGGGAAAGGGAGCAAACCCCAAAGGUUAAAACAGUUGUUUGGGAAAAUCACGGAACACUAGCAGUCGGAAUGAAAGUUGGUGUCUAAAACUAUUCUACACCUGUGUAUUCUUUUAAAAAUAGUUUUUUUGAUCAUCUACCAUUUUUUUUUUAUUUUUUUUUGUUUAACAUUUAUUUAUUUAUUUUUGGGACAGAGAGAGAC
This is a long non-coding RNA of Felis catus (domestic cat), 500 nucleotides long. RefSeq lists it as uncharacterized. NCBI's taxonomy places the organism in Eukaryota, Metazoa, Chordata, Mammalia, Carnivora, Felidae. The record is from RefSeq and is a predicted model, not a curated record. The transcript has 3 exons.